Molecule: ribosomal RNA, 407 nt
Filed under: uncultured bacterium
Lineage: Bacteria
Description: bacterial SSU rRNA
Rfam family: Bacterial small subunit ribosomal RNA
Source: RNAcentral
UCGGGAAUUUUGGGCAAUGGGCGAAAGCCUGACCCAGCAACGCCGCGUGAAGGAUGAAGUCUUUCGGGAUGUAAACUUCGUAAAAAUAGGAAGAAUAAAUGACGGUACUAUUUGUAAGGUCCGGCUAACUACGUGCCAGCAGCCGCGGUAAUACGUAGGGACCAAGCGUUGUUCGGAUUUACUGGGCGUAAAGGGCGCGUAGGCGGCAAUUCAAGUCAUCUGUGAAAUCUCCGGGCUUAACUCGGAACGGUCAGAUGAUACUGCUUUGCUAGAGUGCAGAAGGGGCAAUCGGAAUUCUUGGUGUAGCGGUGAAAUGCGUAGAUAUCAAGAGGAACACCUGAGGUGAAGACGGGUUGCUGGGCUGACACUGACGCUGAGGCGCGAAAGCCAGGGGAGCAAACGGGAUU